Molecule: ribosomal RNA, 37 nt
Filed under: Canna indica (Indian-shot)
Lineage: Eukaryota; Viridiplantae; Streptophyta; Magnoliopsida; Zingiberales; Cannaceae
Description: partial 26S ribosomal RNA
Source: RNAcentral
GCGACCCCAGGUCAGGCGGGGCCACCCGCCGAGUUUA